UUUCCGGUUGAUCCUGCCGGAGGUCAUUGCUAUUGGAGUCCGAUUUAGCCAUGCUAGUUGCACGGGUUAGACCCGUAGCAGAUAGCUCAGUAACACGUGGCCAAACUACCCUCUGGAUACGGACAACCUCGGGAAACUGAGGCUAAUCCGUAAUACGAUUCCCAGCCUGGAGUGGCGGGAAUCCGAAAGGCUUCGGCGCCAGAGGAUGUGGCUGCGGCCGAUUAGGUAGACGGUGGGGUAACGGCCCACCGUGCCGAUAAUCGGUACGGGUUGUGAGAGCAAGAGCCCGGAGACGGUAUCUGAGACAAGAUACCGGGCCCUACGGGGCGCAGCAGGCGCGAAACCUUUACACUGCACGCGAGUGCGAUAAGGGGACUCCAAGUGCGAGGGCAUAUAGUCCUCGCUUUUCUCGACCGUAAGAAGGUCGAGGAACAAGUGCUGGGCAAGACCGGUGCCAGCCGCCGCGGUAAUACCGGCAGCACGAGUGAUGACCGCUAUUAUUGGGCCUAAAGCGUCCGUAGCUGGCCAUGCAAGUCCAUCGGGAAAUCCGCGCGCUUAACGCGCGGGCGUCCGGUGGAAACUGCAUGGCUUGGGACCGGAAGACCUGAGGGGUACGUCUGGGGUAGGAGUGAAAUCCCGUAAUCCUGGACGGACCACCGGUGGCGAAAGCGCCUCAGGAAGACGGAUCCGACGGUGAGGGACGAAAGCUCGGGUCACGAACCGGAUUAGAUACCCGGGUAGUCCGAGCUGUAAACGAUGUCUGCUAGGUGUGCCACAGGCUACGAGCCUGUGGUGUGCCGUAGGGAAGCCGUGAAGCAGACCGCCUGGGAAGUACGUCCGCAAGGAUGAAACUUAAAGGAAUUGGCGGGGGAGCACUACAACCGGAGGAGCCUGCGGUUUAAUUGGACUCAACGCCGGACAUCUCACCAGCAUCGACAGUAGCAAUGAAGGUCAGUGUGAUGAGCUUACUGGAGCUACUGAGAGGAGGUGCAUGGCCGCCGUCAGCUCGUACCGUGAGGCGUCCUGUUAAGUCAGGCAACGAGCGAGACCCGCACUCCUAAUUGCCAGCAGUACCCUUGUGGUAGCUGGGUACAUUAGGAGGACUGCCAGUGCCAAACUGGAGGAAGGAACGGGCAACGGUAGGUCAGUAUG
This 1152-nucleotide ribosomal RNA is filed under the name Haloterrigena turkmenica. RNAcentral describes it as "bacterial SSU rRNA". It matches the Rfam family "Archaeal small subunit ribosomal RNA", at positions 1 to 1153 of the family's 1478-position model. The record is from RNAcentral. Lineage: Archaea; Methanobacteriati; Methanobacteriota; Halobacteria; Halobacteriales; Natrialbaceae.